This 449-nucleotide ribosomal RNA is filed under the name uncultured Desulfobulbus sp. Its description in RNAcentral is "bacterial SSU rRNA". It matches the Rfam family "Bacterial small subunit ribosomal RNA", at positions 938 to 1382 of the family's 1533-position model. The record is from RNAcentral. Lineage: Bacteria; Pseudomonadati; Thermodesulfobacteriota; Desulfobulbia; Desulfobulbales; Desulfobulbaceae.
UAUGUGGUUUAAUUCGAUGCAACGCGAAGAACCUUACCUGGUCUUGACAUCCCGGAGACCCUUAGGAAACUAGGGGUGCCUCCAUCUGGAAGAAUCUGGAGACAGGUGCUGCAUGGCUGUCGUCAGCUCGUGUCGUGAGAUGUUGGGUUAAGUCCCGCAACGAGCGCAACCCUUGCCUUUAGUUGCCAGCAGUUCGGCUGGGCACUCUAAAGGGACUGCCGGUGUUAAACCGGAGGAAGGUGGGGAUGACGUCAAGUCCUCAUGGCCUUUAUGACCAGGGCUACACACGUACUACAAUGGCCGAUACAAAGGGCAGCGACACUGCGAGGUGAAGCCAAUCCCGUAAAAUCGGUCUCAGUCCGGAUUGGAGUCUGCAACUCGACUCCAUGAAGUUGGAAUCGCUAGUAAUCGUGGAUCAGCAUGCCACGGUGAAUACGUUCCCGGGCCUU